This 253-nucleotide ribosomal RNA is filed under the name uncultured bacterium. RNAcentral describes it as "partial 16S ribosomal RNA". It matches the Rfam family "Bacterial small subunit ribosomal RNA", at positions 524 to 776 of the family's 1533-position model. The record is from RNAcentral.
UACGAGGGGUCCUAGCGUUGUUCGGAAUCAUUGGGCGUAAAGGGUGCGUAGGUUGCUAUUCAAGUCAGUUGUGAAAUCCCCGGGCUCAACCCGGGAAGUGCUUCUGAUACUGUUUAGCUUGAGUACUGGAGAGGAUAGUAGAAUUCCAGGUGUAGUGGUGAAAUGCGCAGAUAUCAGGAGGAACACCGGUGGCGAAGGCGGGUCUCUGGGCCGAUACUGACGCUGAGGAGCGAAAGCGUGGGGAGCGAACAGG